UACGUAGGUGGCAAACGUUAUCCGGAUUUACUGGGUGUAAAGGGCGUGUAGGCGGGAAAGCAAGUCAGAUGUGAAAACCAUGGGCUCAACCUGUGGCCUGCAUUUGAAACUGUUUUUCUUGAGUACUGGAGAGGCAGACGGAAUUCCUAGUGUAGCGGUGAAAUGCGUAGAUAUUAGGAGGAACACCAGUGGCGAAGGCGGUCUGCUGGACAGCAACUGACGCUGAGGCGCGAAAGCGUGGGGAGCAAACAGG
RNAcentral lists this ribosomal RNA (253 nucleotides) under uncultured bacterium. RNAcentral describes it as "partial 16S ribosomal RNA". It matches the Rfam family "Bacterial small subunit ribosomal RNA", at positions 524 to 776 of the family's 1533-position model. The record is from RNAcentral.